UUAGUUUAGUUUCUUAAGUCUCGUUGUAUUUCCUUUGUCAUUGUUAUCCACGAGAAUUGACCUGUUUGACUUAUCUUAUUUUUCAGAAAUUAAAAAAGUACGUAAAUAUAAAGUUGUUUCUCGACCCACUCGUAAACAUACUAAGAAUUGUAAAGAGAUUGCUCAAUGCCCAGAACUCAACAAACUGUAAUAAUCUUGUUAGCAAAACCCUAGACUUCUAAAUUCUAAUUUGCAUUAAGGUGCAUUAGAGCAACCAUAACUGGGCUCAGAAUCUCAUGUUGUUGCUAUAAUUGAGAGCAGGAUAGCGAGGAUCAUCUUCCGGACUUGUAGUUGGCUCUCCAAAAAUUCUCAACAAAUCUGGCGAGGUAACCUCUCUCCCCUAUCUCUAUAUUUUGUUACUUUAAUCUUUACUUUUUGUUUUUACUACACCUGUUCUCCUAAUUAUUGUUAUCUUUCCGGAAUGGCAGCAAUAUGAAGUACUAAAGCCUGGUGGAUAAUCAAGGCUGUUGUGUUGAUACAAGUCUGUAUGAAUAGAUAUGAAAGAUUCUUCGCAAGCCAGGUACACAUCCUCAUAUAUGUUGAAUGUCUAGGUUAGUUACUAUAUUUUUGUUUGUUGUGUUCCAUGAAAUGCCUGAAUGAAAUUUAGCAACAAAAGAAUUCUUCUGGCUGAAACUGAGUAUUUGUCAUCAAUGUGAAAUUUGGUAAAACCAACUGAGUUAAAUCUAUAUAAUAUCUUCGAAAAUAAAGUAAUCAAAUAGUUACUUGAUUUAGCUACUAUGGUUGGAGCAAAACCUUUUCUUUUGUUUAGGAAGGUUAGCGAUGAUGUCAUACCUUUGUUGCCACUGAUCUUCUCUCCAAUCUCCACUUGAAGCUGUAACCACUUCCAUUAAAUACUAAAGUGUACAACUGUGUAGCAGUCAAGUGCUUCUCCUAAUGCAAAAGCAGCCAUGCUGGUCAAUUUUUACAUUCAGUAUUGUAAGAUUUAUCUGAUAAUCAGGGGCAUAACUUCUAAUUUAACACCAUUUUUUUUUGUUCCAUAAGAGCAUCUUCGACGGUGUUGACUAAAAAUGGUUGGCGAAAUUGGACUUGUAAGACAUUAUGUAAAAUUAGUCGAACCAGUAAGGUAUUUUACUUUGAUGGUAUUGGCUAUGUUGGCUGAUUAUAUUCCAAAAAUGGUAUGUUAUUAUUAUUUCAAGUUGUUAUAAAUAGAAUAUAUUAUUUUAAAAUGGUAAUAGAUAUGUGGAAUCUUGUUACAGGUAUCUAGAGGUUGGCCUAAUAUAGCCAAUAUCAAGAGGUUGGCUAUAAUUAUAGACAAGGGUUUUGUACAAUUGGAGUGGUGAAAUUUAUACACAUUCUCUAUAAAUUUUAUUUUUGGCAUUCCAAUUGCCACCUAGAUAUUUAGCUAAGGGCUUUAUAAGGUUGAAAAUGCUCUAGUAUAUUAAUGGUUAUUAUCAUUGAUAUAUUUCUCUAGAUUCUGUUAAGCAUGUUUAAUUAACCGAUUGAUUAAUAAUUAAUAUUUUUAUAUCGUAUCCUUGAGGUACCGAUCUCAUCACUAUUGACAUUGACAUUAUUUCAUAUUUAUUAUUCGAAGUGUAUUUCUAUCACAUAAAAAAAAAAAUUAAAAACAAUUAUUUUGACAAUAAUAUGA
Molecule: long non-coding RNA, 1648 nt
Filed under: Daucus carota (carrot)
Lineage: Eukaryota; Viridiplantae; Streptophyta; Magnoliopsida; Apiales; Apiaceae
Description: long non-coding RNA (DCAR_LNC000556)
Source: RNAcentral